RNAcentral lists this ribosomal RNA (269 nucleotides) under uncultured archaeon. RNAcentral's name for it is "partial 16S ribosomal RNA". It matches the Rfam family "Archaeal small subunit ribosomal RNA", at positions 477 to 747 of the family's 1478-position model. The record is from RNAcentral.
CAGCGCCACGAGUGGCAAUCGUGUAUUUGGCCUAAAGCGUCCGUAGCCGGAUUUGUAAAUCUUUUGUGAAAUCGUUGCGCUCAACGUAACGGCGUGCAGAAGACACUGCAGAUCUCGAGACCGGGAGGAGAUAGAGGUAUUCUAGGGGGAGCGGUAAAAUGCUAUAAUCCCUGGAGGACCACCAGUGGCGAAGGCGUCUAUCCAGAACGGAUCUGACGGUGAGGGACGAAAGCCAGGGGAGCGAACCGGAUUAGAGACCCGAGUAGUCC